GACGAACGCUGGCGGCGUGCUUAACACAUGCAAGUCGAACGAAGUGGCGAACGGGUGAGUAACGCGUCAGCAACAUGCCCUUCAGAGGGGGACUACAGUUGGAAACGACUGCUUAUACCGCAUACUGAAGUAGGGGAUUUCGUCUGAUUAGCUAGUUGGAGGGGUAAGGGCCCACCAAGGCGAUGAUCAGUAGCCGGUCUGAGAGGAUGAACGGCCACAUUGGGACUGGGACACGGCCCAGACUCCUACGGGAGGCAGCAGGGGGGAAUCUUCCGCAAUGGACGAAAGUCUGACUGAGCAACGCCGCGGGAGUGAUGACGGCCUUCGGGUUGUAAAGCUCUGUUAAUCGGGACGCGUUACCGGAAUAGAAAGCCACGGCUAACUACGUGCCAGCAGCCGCGGUAAUAC
RNAcentral lists this ribosomal RNA (408 nucleotides) under uncultured bacterium. RNAcentral describes it as "partial 16S ribosomal RNA". It matches the Rfam family "Bacterial small subunit ribosomal RNA", at positions 28 to 526 of the family's 1533-position model. The record is from RNAcentral.